Long non-coding RNA from Drosophila novamexicana, 527 nucleotides. RefSeq lists it as uncharacterized. NCBI's taxonomy places the organism in Eukaryota, Metazoa, Arthropoda, Insecta, Diptera, Drosophilidae. The record is from RefSeq and is a predicted model, not a curated record. The transcript has 3 exons.
AUAAUACAUAAAUAAAAACGCCUAAAGUGCUCGAAUCUUAAAUCGCAAAUACAUCAAUUUUUCUGGAUGAAAUUGAACUGAUUUUUGAGAGCAGCUAAAAUGGUUAACGAAUUAAGUUUAAAUCAGCAGCUGGCCCAGGCUGUUAGCUCAUUUGCUACUUUAAGCACAUAUGCCUUAUGGCCAAGGGCGAAUUGGUUAUAUGCUUGGCAGCAUAUGGCCUUUGGGCCUACAACCAAGCCUUUGUAUAGUGUCAAAACUGAUAUUUCAGUUUGCAAUCGAAUUGUUGAGCCCAAACAUUUGAAAUACAGUGAAAUGGUGUCCUUGUCUAUGUGGGAUUUUAAUAUGACCGAUGCGGAUUCAUUGGCUCUGGAAUUGGAAAAGAUUGGCUUAACAAGCUGCGAAUUAUAAGAAGCGUCAUGCACGCAAUGUAAGGGAAUGUAUUUAAAUAUAAAACAACUAAAGCUUAUUGUUUAUUUCUGUACAUUUUAAACAUAACAAGAAAGCAAACAUAUACAUCUUGGAAUUCC